Molecule: long non-coding RNA, 255 nt
Organism: Daphnia pulicaria
Lineage: Eukaryota; Metazoa; Arthropoda; Branchiopoda; Diplostraca; Daphniidae
Exons: 2
Source: RefSeq, a predicted model, not a curated record
UCUUAUCCAGCAAAGCCAUGAGCGAGUCCAGGCUAUUGUUAAAUGACUGGAAUUUCUUUUUGCAGAUAGUGCACGCCUGAAGAAGAGAAUAUAAAUCGAUCAAAUCCGAAUUAGGUUUUAAUAUGAAAUGUGAAUAUCUAUACCGAUCCGCAUUUGUUGCUUUUGAGUGGCAGACCAACACUUUUCCAAAUGUCGACCAUAUCCUCGACAAAGCGAUCCAUCAUCUCGACGGUGUGGUGUGGUGUCGGAGAAAUG